Aquila chrysaetos chrysaetos is the source of this 1797-nucleotide long non-coding RNA. RefSeq lists it as uncharacterized. The transcript has 3 exons. The record is from RefSeq and is a predicted model, not a curated record. NCBI's taxonomy places the organism in Eukaryota, Metazoa, Chordata, Aves, Accipitriformes, Accipitridae.
AUGUGCCCCGGCAGCACGCUCUCUUCUGCUAGCAUUCCCAUCCACAGAAUCGGAGUAGAGCUAGUCCAAAGCUAAGCGUCGAAGCACACAUGGUGAAAUGCGCAGGCCUCUGCCACUUGAGCUUGCAGUACUUGCAAGUCAUCCCUUGGCAAUGCCUCCCUAUGGAAGAGACAGCGGAGAGCGAGGUAACGCAGUGCUCUGCUAGACCACCGCGUGGUCCCUCAGCUCUCGCUGACGCCCACACGUUACCUAGAUAAAUCAGACAGACAGUUCUGCUCCAGCCUCUGCACAUCAGCCUGAUCCAGCCUAGAAGCCAAGUGGCCCUAAGCACGGUGUUAUCCUACAGCUGAAGUCCUGUCACGUUCUCCUCCUGCGCAUCCCCAGAUCACGCCUUCUCAGACCCGACUUUGUCUCUCCGUUGCCAUUCCCUUCAUCCGCCUCCUCUCUCUCCUCCUAACAAAUGCCCAAGUAUGAUCUUCAGAAGCUUAUGACUUUGAUCUUCUGGAGCAGAGUUGCACAGGAAUUUUCCUCUCCCAUAUAAGCUUUCCACCUAGUAAGACAGGCGCUGAGUGCCAAGAAGGUACUACGUGCUGAAGUCAAACAUCUGUGGCUGGCUUGCAGGGCUGACUCAUCCCGGCCUUGCAACCUCCCUCUCGCUCAAGUGUCCGUGUCCCAGCGAGAGUUUGCAGAGGAACCACCAGCGCUUCUGGCGGAAAGCAAACAGAGACGUAUAGCUGCAAUUUACUGGCACUGCUGGAAAGAUCCCAAGCUGUUUCUUCCACUUUUCCUUUCUUUUGGUAACAUUUAUGCUUCGCUCCCUUCCCCUGAGCAGUGUGAGGUGGCCGGGAGUUGCAGGAGACUCCUGCAAAAUAGACAGGGCAAUAGUCAGUGAAAGUUUUCCUCGUCGGUCUGGUGGCUUAUCUCCUGCUAAUCUCCUGCUCUGACCAGGGCUAAGUGGGGGAAGAAAGAGCCACGAGUAACCUUCACGCCUAGUACCUGAAGCAUAAAAUUAAACAAUUUCUCAGCAACAAGCCCAACGAUGUUCCUACUGGUAAGGAGCUGCUUAAGUUCCAUGAGACUUAAGCUUGUGUUUAGCUGAAAGGACAGGUAUUUUAUAGGAAUGCCAUUUGAACCAGAAUCAUUUUCUGGGUAAUUUAGUAUAUCAUUUCACAUUUUGAAACAGAUUAAUAUUCUACCAAGUGGCUUUUAGCAGGAUUUGCAAAGCUAGGCUGCGAGUGCUUCUUGACAUGCUGCCACACAAAGGAAGACUGGACCUCUUCCCACCGAGAACCGCUCCUCCGAAACACGGCUUUUGGAUGAGAAGCAAACAUUUUCCUGUUACUCAUGAUCUGAAUUUCAUCAAAAUAAACAGAAACUAUCACAGAGAAUUGCAGUAUUUCCCACCUCAUACCUACGUUCCCACUACAUCAGACCGCAGCCUGGCUGUGAUACUCACGGUCAGGGAUGAAGAGGUGCUCCGGCUUCCUCUGCAUUUCCACGCAAACUGCUUGUUGGGAUGACGGGUGGGUGCAGAGCUGCUGCUUUUUUCUCAGCGAGUCGCUGCGGUGAGCUGGAGAGCUGCUUGCCCCCCGGCUGACAAUUUGGGAGAGCCAAACUUUCUGGGUGACCGCCCCCCCUGUUUCUGAAACAGGUUAGCAAUGUGCUGGGUUUGAAACCAAAGCACGUUGUCAAAGUUUAUAUUCUCUCCCUCUGUCAAGAGAUUAAAAGCACUUAUUUAAUGGAUCAUUGAGUUCAGAGACUAUGCAAGAUGCCUCUUUCACAUUUUCAUCUAUAGAG